CGAAGAAAUGCGAGAGUGCCUUUCGGAGCCGGAAAACAGGUGCUGCAUGGCUGUCGUCAGCUCGUGUCGUGAGAUGUUGGGUUAAGUCCCGCAACGAGCGCAACCCUCGUUCUUAGUUACUAACGGUUCGGCCGAGCACUCUAGAUAGACUGCCUUCGUAAGGAGGGAGGAAAGGUGAGGACGACGUCAAGUCAUCAUGCCCCUUACGGCCAGGGCGACACACGUGCUACAAUGGUAAGUACAAAGAGAAGCUUUACCGCGAGUUGGAGCAAAUCUAAUAAACCUGAUCUUAGUUCGGAUUGUAGUCUGCAACUCGACUGCAUGAAGCUGGAAUCACUAGUAAUCGUAGAUCAGCAGUGCCACGGUGAAUACGUUCCCGGGUCUUGUACUCACCGCCCGUCACACCAUGGGAGUUGAUUUCACCCGAAGCGGGGAAGCUAA
RNAcentral lists this ribosomal RNA (441 nucleotides) under uncultured bacterium. Its description in RNAcentral is "bacterial SSU rRNA". It matches the Rfam family "Bacterial small subunit ribosomal RNA", at positions 999 to 1438 of the family's 1533-position model. The record is from RNAcentral.